AUCCAGAUGAUGACUCCCAAAUAGGACGAAAUGCGCGUUAUCCUGGAU
This 48-nucleotide non-coding RNA is filed under the name Trichobilharzia regenti. The record is from RNAcentral. Lineage: Eukaryota; Metazoa; Platyhelminthes; Trematoda; Strigeidida; Schistosomatidae.